UACGUAGGGUGCGAGCGUUAAUCGGAAUUACUGGGCGUAAAGCGUGCGUAGGCGGUGAUGUAAGUCAGGUGUGAAAUCCCCGGGCUUAACCUGGGAACUGCAUUUGUGACUGCAUCGCUGGAGUGCGGCAGAGGGGGAUGGAAUUCCGCGUGUAGCAGUGAAAUGCGUAGAUAUGCGGAGGAACACCGAUGGCGAAGGCAAUCCCCUGGGCCUGCACUGACGCUCAUGCACGAAAGCGUGGGGAGCAAACAGG
RNAcentral lists this ribosomal RNA (253 nucleotides) under uncultured bacterium. RNAcentral describes it as "partial 16S ribosomal RNA". It matches the Rfam family "Bacterial small subunit ribosomal RNA", at positions 524 to 776 of the family's 1533-position model. The record is from RNAcentral.